Molecule: long non-coding RNA, 1172 nt
Filed under: Lotus japonicus
Lineage: Eukaryota; Viridiplantae; Streptophyta; Magnoliopsida; Fabales; Fabaceae
Description: long non-coding RNA (LJAP_LNC000017)
Source: RNAcentral
CACAUCGGUGACUGUCUCUGGCCAGAUUAUUUUAUGAGGUCUCACAUUUACCCAAAUCUUUUCUCUUUUUUUUUUAUUUGCAAAAACAAGCACUCCUUCAUGCUGCUAAUUCUGAUUACCAAAGUUUCAUAAUCAUCGUUUGCUCAUAAAAUUCACAGAGCCUCAUCCAUGUCCAUAAAAGCAUGAUCUGAGUUUUUUUAUUGUUGCAGGCCUCAAUUGUCAUUUUAGAAAUUCACAUCCCUCACUCCUUAACUGUUUACCUACAUCAUUUUGUAUUUGGCUUUUCAUUUUUCUGUCAUUUAACAAUUUCAGUGUUAGCUGCUUCUUGCUUUUCAAUUUUUUAUUCUCUUUUAGCCAUCCUGAUUUAACUCCUGUUUUUAAUUUUCAAUUGUUUAACCUGCAUCUAUGUAGAAAAGUUAAGUUUGCAAUGGAUCAAUGUAAAUAAAUGAGAAAGCUGAAGUUUGUUGAUUUAGUUCUCUAUUUCUCCCUCAUCUUUAUUCUUAUAUUCUUCCAUAUGUAGGUGGUGAAAAAGAUCGUUAUGGGGAAAAAGAUUGGAGCAUGUAUUUAGUAGAAAGUCUAAAUUAAGGGUAUGUGUUUAUCUAAUAUCUAUACUUGCAGUUUUUGUGCAUCAGAUUCAUUAUGUAAUGAAUGAGCUAGUUAUACUGGUUGAGAGAUAGUUAGUGCAAUGUACUAAUGAAGAGUUAGCUAAUGAAAAUAAUAUUCAUCCACUUUCUCUCAUUUCCUUCUAUGUUAGGUUAACAGUGUGUGCUACUUCACUUUCUGUAACUAGAACUUUGGAAAGUUAAAUUAGUUAUGACCUAAUUAUAUGAGCUAUUUCUGAAUGGAAAAUGUGCUAGGUAUGACUUUUUAAUUGAUUCCAAACAUAACUGGUUUUUUUUUUUUAAAAAAAAAAAAAGACUUUUCACAUCGGUUUUGGAAUAAACCGAUGUGAAAUGUGUAGUUUUCACAUCGGGUAUUUGAUUCCACCGAUGUGAAAUACACGUACAGAUUUAAAAAAGAAAUUACUAAACAGACUUUUCACAUCGGUUGCGGCAUAAACCGAUGUGAAAUGUGUAGUUUUCACAUCGGGUAUUUGAUUCCACCGAUGUGAAAUACACGUGCAGAUUUGAAAAAGAAAUUACUAAACAUACUUUUAACAUCGGUUGCGGCAU